Molecule: ribosomal RNA, 489 nt
Filed under: uncultured bacterium
Lineage: Bacteria
Description: bacterial SSU rRNA
Rfam family: Bacterial small subunit ribosomal RNA
Source: RNAcentral
AAUGAACGCUGGCGGCGUGCCUAACACAUGCAAGUCGGAUGUGCCCGCAAGGGUGCAUGGCAGACGGGUGAGUAACGCGUGGGGAACCUACCUCUUUGUGGGGAAUAACGUUCCGAAAGGAAUGGUAAUACCGCAUGAGACCUUCGGCUGGGAUGCUGGAGGUGAAACCCGGGGACCGUAAGGCCUGGGGCAAGGAGAGGGUCCUGCGUCUGAUUAGCUAGUUGGCGGGGUAAUGGCCCACCAAGGCGACGAUCAGUAGCCGGCCUGAGAGGGUGAUCGGCCACACUGGAACUGAGACACGGUCCAGACUCCUACGGGAGGCAGCAGGUGGGGUAAUUUUGCGCAAUGGACGAAAGUCUGACGCAGCAACGCCGCGUGGGUGAUGAAGGUCUUCGGAUUGUAAAACCCUGUCGUCAGGGACGAAGGUUGGGGCUUUAAUAGAGUUUCAACUUGACGGUACCUGGAGAGGAAGCCCCGGCUAACUCUGUG